RNAcentral lists this ribosomal RNA (3017 nucleotides) under bacterium. Its description in RNAcentral is "23S ribosomal RNA". It matches the Rfam family "Bacterial large subunit ribosomal RNA". The record is from RNAcentral.
GGUCAAGCUACUAAGGGCACAUGGUGGAUGCCUUGGUGCCAGAGGGCGAUGAAGGACGUGGUAAGCUGCGAUAAGCCUCGGGGAGGAGCAAACAUCCUUAGAUCCGGGGAUUUCCGAAUGGGGAAACCCUCCUCGAUAAAAUCGAGGAAUUCCGGUUUGAAUAAAAUAAAACCGGGAGGCAAAACUGGGAGAACUGAAACAUCUAAGUAUCCCAAGGAAGAGAAAGAGAAUCGAUUUCCUGAGUAGCGGCGAGCGAAACGGAAAGAGCCUAAACCCCGGUUACGUGAUAGUUCAUACACGUUGUAAUCGGGGGGUCGUGGGAUUUAACCGUUCCCUUGUAUGAGAGGGAGAAGGAGUUACCAAUCCUGCCCCUAACUGAAUGGUCUGGAAAGGCCAACCAGAGAAGGUGAUAGUCCUUUAAGUGAAAGGAGCAGGGCUUCUUGGGCUAAAUUCCCAAGUAUCACGGGACACGUGGAACCCUGUGAGAAUCUGUCCCGACCACGGGAUAAGGCUAAAUACUGUCUGGCGACCGAUAGUGAACUAGUACCGUGAGGGAAAAGUGAAAAGAACCCCGGGAGGGGAGUGAAAUAGAACCUGAAACCAUGAUGCCUACAAGCAGUGGGAGCCCUAUGUCUAAAUCUUAGUAUUUGGACAGGGUGACCGCGUGCCUUUUGCAUAAUGAACCGGCGAGUUACUUCUAGGUAGCAAGGUUAAGUCCGAUUUAUCGGACGGAGCCGUAGCGAAAGCGAGUCCUAAUAGGGCGAUUUAGUUAUCUGGAGUAGACCCGAAACCGAGUGAGCUACCCAUGGUCAGGGUGAAGCUCCGGUAAAACGGAGUGGAGGCCCGAACCUGCGGACGUUGAAAAGUCUUGGGAUGAACUGUGGGUAGGGGUGAAAGGCCUAUCAAACUCGGAAAUAGCUGGUUCUCCCCGAAAUAUAUUUAGGUAUAGCCUCAUGGGUUCAGUAAUGGCGGUAGAGCACUGACUGGACUAGGGACCUUAAUAAGGUUACCAAACCCAUUCAAACUCCGAAUGCUAUUACUUCAAUACCAUGGGAGUCAGACUACGGGGGAUAAGCUUCGUAGUCAAAAGGGAAACAACCCAGAUCGUCGGCUAAGGUCCCUAAGCACGGGCUAAGUGGAGAAGGAUGUCGGAUUGCCCAAACAGCCAGGAGGUUGGCUUAGAAGCAGCCAUCCUUUAAAGAAAGCGUAACAGCUCACUGGUCGAGUGGUCCGGCGCCGAAAAUUCAACGGGGCUUAAGUCCGUCACCGAAGCCGCGACUUCCCGAUUUAUCGGGAGGGGUAGGGGAGCAUUCCGUUCUGGUUGAAGUCUUACCGCAAGGAGAGAUGGACGGAACGGAAGAGACGAUGCCGGUAUGAGUAGCGAUAAGGCCGAUGAGAAAUCGGCCCGCCGUAAACCCAAGGUUUCCUGGGGAAGGUUAAUCCGCCCAGGGUUAGUCGGUCCUAAGCCGAGGCCGAAAGGCGUAGGCGAUGGAAAGUCCGUUAAUAUUCGGACACCGCUUGGGAAGCGUUUUGAGCUAUGGGGUGACGCAGAGGAGUAAACCAGCCCACGACUGGAAGUGUGGGUCCAAGCCCGUAGGGAGUCCUGACAGGAAAAUCCGUCGGGACAUUAAUCCCGAGAGGCGUUAGGGUGUCCACGAAAGUGGACAGAACUGGUUAAUCUCAACUGCCAAGAAAAACCUCUAAGCAAGUCUUCCAAGCGACCGUACCGCAAACCGACACAGGUGGGUGAGGAGAGAAUCCUAAGGCGCUCGAAAGAACCCUCGUUAAGGAACUCGGCAAUUUAACCCCGUAACUUUGGGAUAAGGGGUGUCCGGCCACGUGUAGUUGCUUGCCAAUGUAGCGUGGACGGAUCGCAGUGAAAUGGCCCAGGCGACUGUUUAACAAAAACACAGGUCUCUGCUAACUCGUAAAGAGGAGGUAUAGGGACCGACGCUUGCCCGGUGCUGGAAGGUUAAGAUAAGGGGUCCGUUCGAUUUAUCGAACAAAGCUCUAAAUUGAAGCCCCAGUAAACGGCGGCCGUAACUAUAACGGUCCUAUGGUAGCGAAAUUCCUUGUCGGGUAAGUUCCGACGUGCAUGAAUAGCGUAACGACUUGGGCACUGUCUCAACGAGGGAUUCGGCGAAAUUGUAGCAGGGGUGAAGAUGCCUCUUACCCACGUCAGGACGGAAAGACCCCGGAACCUUUACUGUAUCCUGGCAUUGGAUUUUGAUAUGAUUUGUAGAGGAUAGGUGGGAGACUAUGAACCUUUUGCGCUAGCGAAAGGGGAGUCAACCUUGGAAUACCACCCUUAUUAUACUAGGAUUCUAAUUCCGAUCCGUAUAUCCGGACGGAAGACAUUGUCAGGUGGGCAGUUUGACUGGGGCGGUCGCCUCCUAAAUUGUAACGGAGGUGUCCUAAGGUUCCCUCAACACGGUUGGUAAUCGUGUGUGGAGUGUAAAGGCAGAAGGGAGCUUAACUGCGAGACUUACCAGUCGAGCAGAUGCGAAAGCAGGGCUUAAUGAUCCGGCGGUGCUGUGUGGAAAGGCCGUCGCUUAACGGAUAAAAGGUACUCCGGGGAUAACAGGCUUAUCUCCUCCAAGAGUUCAUAUCGACGAGGAGGUUUGGCACCUCGAUGUCGGCUCAUCGCAUCCUGGGGGUGAAGAAGCUCCCAAGGGUUUGUCUGUUCGCCAAUUAAAGCGGUACGUGAGUUGGGUUCAGAACGUCGUAAGACAGUUCGGUCCCUAUCCGGCGUGGGCGUUAGGAUAUUUGAGGGAAGCUGCCCCUAGUACGAGAGGACCGGGGUGGACAGACCUCUGGUGUACCAGCUGUUUCGCCAGAAGCAUCGCUGGGUAGCUAUGUCUGGAAAGGAUAAGCGCUGAAAGCAUCUAAGCGCGAAGCCUCUCCCAAGAUAAGAUAUCCCUAAGACUCCCCGUAGAUGACGGGGUUGAUAGGCUCCAAGUGUAAGGCGAGUAAUCGUUUUAGCUAUGGAGUACUAAUCAGUCGUUUGGCUUGAUCAU